UACGGGGGGGGCAAGCGUUGUUCGGAAUUACUGGGCGUAAAGGGCUCGUAGGCGGCCAACUAAGUCAGACGUGAAAUCCCUCAGCUUAACUGGGGAACUGCGUCUGAUACUGGAUGGCUUGAGUUUGGGAGAGGGAUGCGGAAUUCCAGGUGUAGCGGUGAAAUGCGUAGAUAUCUGGAGGAACACCGGUGGCGAAGGCGGCAUCCUGGACCAACACUGACGCUGAGGAGCGAAAGCGUGGGGAGCAAACAGG
This 253-nucleotide ribosomal RNA is filed under the name uncultured bacterium. RNAcentral describes it as "partial 16S ribosomal RNA". It matches the Rfam family "Bacterial small subunit ribosomal RNA", at positions 524 to 776 of the family's 1533-position model. The record is from RNAcentral.